Molecule: ribosomal RNA, 1146 nt
Filed under: Triticum aestivum (bread wheat)
Lineage: Eukaryota; Viridiplantae; Streptophyta; Magnoliopsida; Poales; Poaceae
Description: partial small subunit ribosomal RNA
Source: RNAcentral
AUGGGCGUCGAGGAGGAGCAAGACGUGCAGCAACCGGACGCCGGCGCCGGAAAGCCUGAUGCCGCCAAGCCACCGCCUUUGGAAAACAAUCAGCAAAAACCAAGCGACCCCCGCACGUCGACCUGCAGCACUGACAAGGACGACGGCCUCGCUCUCUGCCGGGUGUGCCACUGCGUGGAGCCUGACCUCAGAGGCGAGUCCGCUCUGGGUUUCCUAGGCAUCGUGCCGCCUUCCCCUGAUCCAUCCUGCCUGAAGACCGACAAGGACCCGGGCAACGGCGCCACCAAGACUUCCAUCAGCAAGGAUAGCGCCAAUGCUCCAACAUUUCUCGAGUUCAUAAGCCCCGAGGGGGAGAUCUUCAAGUGCGCCACCGACAUCGAAUCGGGCCCUUUGCACCCGCAAGACGACAUCGUGACCCUAGGAUGCUCCUGCAAGAACGAGCUCGCGCUCGCGCACUACGCGUGCGCGCUCAAGUGGUUCAUCAGCCACGGGUCGACCGUGUGCGAGAUAUGCAGUGAUAUCGCCACCAACGUGCGGCCCGAGGAUUUCAACACGGUGCUCGCAUCACUCAAGGACUACGAAGCUCUGAGGGAAAGGACGUCCACCGGGGACCUCUCCUACUUGCACUACAGGGCGGAGGCGUCCGUCGACCCGGCUGCCCUUGCCGCGGUACGGAGGCAGCGGCUCUGCGAGAUAUCGUCAUGGUUCAACCCUCACAAUGCACAUUUCGUGUUUUCUCAGAGUCAGAGGCACAGCAACAACGAAGAGGUGCCAGUUAGCCCGAGUAAUAACUCUGCAGACUAUAGUGUUUCGGCUUGGGGGCCAGCACACGGGGGGCCGAGUGUCGGGAGUACCGGAGCUUUCGUUGCUAUCGCCCUAGCUUUUGUUAUUCUUGCAUGGUUUGUUGCUCCACAUGUUGGCAAGAGAGCGGCUGCGAUCAUCCUUCACAUGCUUCUUGGAGGCCUAUGCUCGUUGACUAUAAUAAUCUCGCUGAGAUUUGUAAGUAAACUAGGAUGCUUAACACAUAUGGUCUUCCCGAGAAUCCAGUUUGGGUCGAUGCGAUACUGGGGGAUCCUGUUCGUGUCCUGGUUCCUCGUGUUUGGAGUGUGGGCGUCGCGAACCCGCACCAUCCGCCGCAAUUCAUGA